This 468-nucleotide ribosomal RNA is filed under the name uncultured bacterium. RNAcentral's name for it is "partial 16S ribosomal RNA". It matches the Rfam family "Bacterial small subunit ribosomal RNA", at positions 28 to 507 of the family's 1533-position model. The record is from RNAcentral.
GAUGAACGCUGGCGGCGUGCUUAACACAUGCAAGUCGAACGGAAAGGCCGAAGCUUGCUUCGGUACUCGAGUGGCGAACGGGUGAGUAACACGUGGGUGAUCUGCCCUGUACUUCGGGAUAAGCUUGGGAAACUGGGUCUAAUACCGGAUAUGACGAUCUCUUGGAUGGGGUUGUGGAAAGCUUUUGCGGUAUGGGAUGAGCUCGCGGCCUAUCAGCUUGUUGGUGGGGUAAUGGCCUACCAAGGCGUCGACGGGUAGCCGGCCUGCGAGGGUGUACGGCCACAUUGGGACUGAGAUACGGCCCAGACUCCUACGGGAGGCAGCAGUGGGGAAUAUUGCACAAUGGGCGCACGCCUGAUGCAGCGACGCCGCGUGGGGGAUGACGGCCUUCGGGUUGUAAACUCCUUUCGCAAUCGACGAAGCCUUUUGGUGACGGUAGGUUGAGAAGAAGCACCGGCUAACUACGUG